UGAUUUUGGAAUGAGAUGUUUGACGAGCAGGUGUCCACAUACUUUUCGUCAUGUAGUGUAGUUUGUCAUAAGAAGGUGACAGUAGUUGUAUUCCUUGACUGUCUGUGGUGUAACUCCUUCCAAACCCACCUACCAAGAGGUACUGACUGAUGUGGAGGAGAGGAGCCACAAAAGGCAACAGGAAUACAACACGUUCUGCCAGCAGACGAAACAGGAGAUAGCUGACAUCCACAGAGAUCGACUGAUCCAUAACAUGAAACUCAACAGGAUGAAGAAAGAGAUUUUCAGUGACCGCAUGGAGGUGAAGAUCGCCAGCGAGGGCAUCAUGAAUAAAUGGAACCACCCCCCGUACCGCCAGCGUCUGCAGAAGGGAGAGGGGAAAGAGAGGACAGAGGAGUCAGAGGAGGUGAAGAAUACACACCAACCUUCUGUUUCUCCAGAGAACCGAAAGACAGCUGGACAAUGACACUGCAACUUUCAGCACAGUGUCUCUCUCUCCCUCUCUCUCUCUUUCUCUUUAUGCCACUCAGAUCUACAGAACAUGAAGUCAGUGUUUUGUGCUACAUUAAUAUAUAUUUUACAUUUGUUUUCAUUGAAAUUCACCCAGAUGAUUUAAAUGCCAAUCUUCACACUUCACCAUUCACCAGUCACACUGUGAUUAUUUCCCUUCAGUCUGUUCUCCCUUUCUCAGACGCUGAUUUGAAACGGUGUGUGUGUGUCGGGCCAGAGCAGGGCUAGUGUGUUUUACAAGUCAUGAAGGCUCAGAAACAUCACAGAAACAUAUUACCUCUCAGAGACUCACAGCACACCAGAGGAGAGGGUGUGUGUGUGUGUGUGUGUGUGUGUGUGUGUGUGUGUGUGUGUGUGUGUGUGUGUGUGUGCCAGAAGAAGAAAACAAAUCUACAGUAAAAUGAAUGAUACAUACAGCAAACAGAAACAGUGAUAAAACAAUACAAUGCUAGAGCUUGGGACUAUAAGGUUCUAUCUGCAAAAAGAUCAUUCUGACAACUGGCUUUAAAGUUCCGAACCCUCAUUGGUUUGAAUAAUGUCAGCAAUUUUGAUAUUGUAUUAUUUUGAACUUAACAACAUGAAAUGGGGGUAUUUAAUGUUAUAUACAGGUAGAGAACAUUGAACAGAACAAGGCUAUGUCAAUAACUACAUUCAGACUAAAAUGCAGAUCUUCUAGUCUCAACAAUGACUUGUGAAAAGUAUUUUUUGAGAAUUUGAGUUCUUUCCACGUUCAUCUCUUUCCUGGUUCUGAGAAGCUAUGACAUUCUCCUCUGGUUCUGACAAGAUGUGACAUUCUCCUCUGGUUCUGAGAAGCUAUGACAUUCUCCUCUGGUUCUGAGAAGCUGUGACAUUCUCCUCUGGUUCUGAGAAGCUGUGACAUUCUCUGGUUCUGAGAAGCUGUUACAUUCUCCUCUGGUUCUGAGAAGCUGUGACAUUCUCCUCUGGUUCUGAGAAGCUGUUACAUUCUCCUCUGGUUCUGAGAAGCUGUUACAUUCUCCUCUGGUUCUGAGAAGCUGUUACAUUCUCCUCUGGUUCUGAGAAGCUGUUACAUUCUCCUCUGGUUCUGAGAAGCUGUUACAUUCUCCUCUGGUUCUGAGAAGCUGUUACAUUCUCCUCUGGUUCUGAGAAGCUGUUACAUUCUCCUCUGGUUCUGAGAAGCUGUGACAUUCUCCUCUGGUUCUGAGAAGCUGUUACAUUCUCCUCUGGUUCUGAGAAGCUGUUACAUUCUCCUCUGGUUCUGAGAAGCUGUUACAUUCUCCUCUGGUUCUGAGAAGCUGUGACAUUCUCUGGUUCUGAGAAGCUGUUACAUUCUCCUCUGGUUCUGAGAAGCUGUGACAUUCUCUGGUUCUGAGAAGCUGUGACAUUCUCCUCUGGUUCUGAGAAGCUGUUACAUUCUCCUCUGGUUCUGAGAAGCUGUGACAUUCUCCUCUGGUUCUGAGAAGCUGUGACAUUCUCUGGUUCUGAGAAGCUGUGACAUUCUCCUCUGGUUCUGAGAAGCUGUUACAUUCUCCUCUGGUUCUGAGAAGCUGUGACAUUCUCCUCUGGUUCUGACAGGCUGUGACAUUCUCCUAUGGUUCUGAGAAGCUGUGACAUUCUCUGGUUCUGAGAAGCUGUUACAUUCUCCUCUGGUUCUGAGAAGCUGUUACAUUCUCCUCUGGUUCUGAGAAGCUGUUACAUUCUCCUCUGGUUCUGAGAAGCUGUGACAUUCUCUGGUUCUGAGAAGCUGUUACAUUCUCCUCUGGUUCUGAGAAGCUGUGACAUUCUCUGGUUCUGAGAAGCUGUGACAUUCUCCUCUGGUUCUGAGAAGCUGUUACAUUCUCCUCUGGUUCUGAGAAGCUGUGACAUUCUCCUCUGGUUCUGAGAAGCUGUGACAUUCUCUGGUUCUGAGAAGCUGUGACAUUCUCCUCUGGUUCUGAGAAGCUGUUACAUUCUCCUCUGGUUCUGAGAAGCUGUGACAUUCUCCUCUGGUUCUGACAGGCUGUGACAUUCUCCUAUGGUUCUGAGAAGCUGUGACAUUCUCCUCUGGUUCUGAGAAGCUGUGACAUUCUCUGGUUCUGAGAAGCUAUGACAUUCUCCUCUGGUUCUGAGAAGCUGUGACAUUCUCCUCUGGUUCUGAGAAGCUGUGACAUUCUCCUCUGGUUCUGAGAAGCUGUGACAUUCUCCUCUGGUUUUGAGAUGCUGUGACAUUCUCCUCUGGUUCUGACAAGCUGUGACAUUCUCCUCUGGUUCUGAGAAGCUGUGACAUUCUCCUCUGGUUCUUAGAAGCUGUGACAUUCUCCUCUGGUUCUGAGAAGCUGUGACAGUCUCCUCUAGUUCUGAGAAGCUGUGACAUUCUCCUCUGGUUCUGAGAAGCUGUGACAUUCUCCUCUGGUUUUGAGAAGCGGUGACAUUCUCUGGUUCUGAGAAGCUGUGACAUUCUCCUCUGGUUCUCACCAUGUGAUGUGUUGACUUCCCCGUGAGAUAUCAAUAACUGUGCUUUGUCAGAAGUUUAUACUCCCCAGUGUUUCUGUUUCAGGAUCCCUAGAAAACACACACACACACGCACACGCACACGCACACACACAUACACACACACACCUCAGAAGUCCUUUGACCGACAAACAAUUAUCAAAACUAUGGAGCAAAACAAGAAGUUUACAUCAUCUGCUUUCAACUUCGCAGCCCAAACCACCCACACACGCACAUGCACACACACAGCCCAAACCACACUGGUAUUUAAAUGUUGAUUUGAGUAAUCUCUAACAUCCUCCUGUUGAUAAACAUAGUUAUGAUUGAUGAGCAAUAUUCUGGCUGCCUGAUGGACUGGUU
Long non-coding RNA from Oncorhynchus tshawytscha (Chinook salmon), 3318 nucleotides. RefSeq lists it as uncharacterized. The record is from RefSeq and is a predicted model, not a curated record. NCBI's taxonomy places the organism in Eukaryota, Metazoa, Chordata, Actinopteri, Salmoniformes, Salmonidae. The transcript has 4 exons.